AAGGGGGCUUUUUCUUUCUUUCGCUCUUUCUUCUCGCAGGGAGGAAAGUUGCUUCGCACAAGAACAUGUUGUCAAGGAAAUAAACCUUAGCGAGGGUAGGCAUUAAACACACAGCUGCUGGACUUGGCCGGGCCUUAGACACUGGUGGUAAUGACAAUGAUGCUUAGUGGCAGCAAACCAGAUCCAAACAUAAAUAGGGCUGCAUGAAAGGAGAGGAAAUGGAACAAAACGGUUCCUCGGGUACCACUGGCAGAGGAAUAACAUCAAUUUCGAUUAAAAAGCGAAAGAAUUCUCCUGUUUCCACACAUUAGUAAAGGCAUGCAAAUUCAUAACUCACCAACAAUGUACCUUUGAAAUGCAGCUGCACCCCACAAACGGGGCCUUUCUGCGUGCAGAGAAGCAGCCCUGUUUUAAGCAGAAAGAAAACAACUAUUGAAAAAGCCACAAGAGUCCGUGGCAGCAAGGAGGGGCGCCGGGAGAGGUGGAGGAAACGUGUUGGGUCUGGCAGAUGCGAGACACCGGCGUUUUCCAUAGAAAGGAGCCUUCAUUUCUGGUCGUCCCCCAAAGAAGUGGUUCUUCCUGGGAUCCUCCAGCAGCGUUCUUGUUGGGUGCACAACGCCGUUUUGAUAUCUCCACCUGCUGGAGAAAUCCCAGCACGCACAAAGGAGCCGGCCUCUGCCUUCUGAAAAAUACCCAUCUCCUCCGCACCAGGACAGCACAGCCUCCUUUCCUCCUCCUCCUCCUCCUCCUCUGGGUCAGGAAGAAAGCACAGGGCACGAUGUUCGUCCUGCCAGUGACACUUGCAGACGUUUUCAUCUGCACAGAAAUGGAGCCUGUCCACAAAUACCUAUGAAGUCCAGUGGUGCUCCAAGUAUGUAGUUCCUCCAAAAACCUCUACAUUUUAUUUAGAGAAGUGACAUUAAUAUCAAAGCCCAGCUUAAAGUGCAAAGUGAGUAUUUCAAUUCUGCCAGAGCAUAAUUAACCCUUCUAAGGCCCCAAACUUACUGUUACUCUUGGUGAGGUGGAGACCUUUAAGGACACCUAACUAAGGGUAGAUGUCUUUAAAACAAAAAACCAUCACUUAAAGUAAAACAGAGAUUUCCUAGGGUGAUGGCUGGAGACUGAGUUCAACAGAUGUCAUCAGACAAAAGGCCUUAAUGGGAGGUGCCUUUUUUCCUCCAGACAACAUGUCCUCCCAUUAGGCUUCUGAAAGCCCACUGUGAUCUUUGUUGUGUUCUACCCUAUGUGAGUGUGAUGGACACCGAGUGGACGACCUUUCCUCUCGCUCCUAAAAGGUGGGAGGGCUGU
Molecule: long non-coding RNA, 1308 nt
Filed under: Anas platyrhynchos platyrhynchos (common mallard)
Lineage: Eukaryota; Metazoa; Chordata; Aves; Anseriformes; Anatidae
Description: lncRNA (ENSAPLG00000016550.1)
Source: RNAcentral